RNAcentral lists this ribosomal RNA (253 nucleotides) under uncultured bacterium. RNAcentral's name for it is "partial 16S ribosomal RNA". It matches the Rfam family "Bacterial small subunit ribosomal RNA", at positions 524 to 776 of the family's 1533-position model. The record is from RNAcentral.
UACGGAGGGGGCUAGCGUUGUUCGGAAUUACUGGGCGUAAAGGGCUCGUAGGCGGCCAACUAAGUCGGACGUGAAAUCCCUCGGCUUAACCGGGGAACUGCGUCCGAUACUGGAUGGCUUGAGUUUGGGAGAGGGAUGCGGAAUUCCAGGUGUAGCGGUGAAAUGCGUAGAUAUCUGGAGGAACACCGGUGGCGAAGGCGGCAUCCUGGACCAACACUGACGCUGAGGAGCGAAAGCCAGGGGAGCAAACGGG